Molecule: non-coding RNA, 71 nt
Organism: Puccinia sorghi
Lineage: Eukaryota; Fungi; Basidiomycota; Pucciniomycetes; Pucciniales; Pucciniaceae
Source: the annotation of a GenBank genome assembly
GCUUCCUUAGUUCAGUGGUUAAAGGAUUGACACAGACAUAAGAGACAUGGGUUCAAUUCCCACAGGAAACA